RNAcentral lists this small nucleolar RNA (144 nucleotides) under Sorex araneus (European shrew). RNAcentral describes it as "Small Cajal body specific RNA 24 (ENSSARG00000019889.1)". It matches the Rfam family "Small Cajal body specific RNA 24", at positions 31 to 130 of the family's 130-position model. From Rfam's summary of the family: scaRNAs are a specific class of small nuclear RNAs which localise to the Cajal bodies and guide the modification of RNA polymerase II transcribed spliceosomal RNAs U1, U2, U4, U5 and U12. ACA12 belongs to the H/ACA box class of guide RNAs as it has the predicted hairpin-hinge-hairpin-tail structure,the conserved H/ACA-box motifs and is found associated with GAR1. The record is from RNAcentral. Lineage: Eukaryota; Metazoa; Chordata; Mammalia; Eulipotyphla; Soricidae.
AAGACAAGUGCUGUACUAUCUCUCCAGCCCCAAAGCAGUCUUUUAUACCGAAGAUAACGCUUUGUAAAUAUCCUAGAGAAAUCUAGUAGCUCUGUGCACACCCUUUACAAGUAAAAUGGGUGCAUCAUUCCACUACUGACAUUC